AGAGAGAGAGAGAGAGAGAAGGGGAAGCGGCAUCGGCGAAUCUCCGGUUACCUGUAGCUGUUGAAACGAUCAGUCACGGACUCCGGUCUCGAUAUACCUCCGGUGACGUGAUUUCUCCGGAAAACUUCCAAAAAGGUGAAAACCCUAGAGUUUGUAACGUGCCGCUCAACGUCUAGCAUCCUUUACAUAAUAGUAGGGGAUCGGAGAAGCAUAGGGCUGAAACUUCUCACUGUCCUCUGUUCAAAAUUAGUUGGUUUCCGGCACAUCGUGGUAAGUUCUGUAAUCUGCGGACGGAGGGGAAGCUCAAUCAACCACCCGUGAACGUCGACGGCUCGUGAGUCUACAUCAACUUGAUUUGAUUUCUCUGUGAUAUUCUUCAACCUAGAGCAUUUUGAGUUAGAUAAAUAUCAUUUAUGGCAACAGCAGAGCCAGCUUCAGUUUCCCUUGGGCCUCGUUAUGCUCCAGAGGACCCUACUCUUCCUAAACCUUGGAUGGGACUGAUUGAUGGAAGUACUGGACUUUUAUACUAUUGGAAUCCUGAAACCAAUGUUACACAGUAUGAAAAGCCAGCCUCUUUGCCUCCACCUUUGCCUCCUGGUCCACCUCCUACUUCUACACCAAAGUUGGCUCAGAUACCAAUGGCUCAUUCAGUACAACCAAGUGGGUUGGUGGCUCAAACUACAUUACAGCAGGGGCAACAGAGCAGUCAAUUACCUCAACAGGCUCAAGCAACACAACAGCAGGGGCAACAGAGCAGCCCGUUGCCUCAGCAGCAUGGACAACUAAUGCCACAGCAGCAGGUUCUCCCUGUGGCACAAGUUUCUAAUCAACAGGUUGCGCAGCAAGGUUCACAACUGGGGCAGGGUGUGCAACAGCCUGUGCACUUGAGAACCCAAAUGAUGCAGCAUCCAGGUCAGCAGAUGUUAUCUAACAUGGGGCAGCAAAUUUCUCAGCAGGGAGUUCAGCAGCAGCAGCAAGCCAUUCAACAGAGUUCUCAUCAAGUAGGACAGCACAUGUUGCAGCAUCAAAACUUGCAAAUGCAACAACCACAAGGUCAGCAAUAUGCAUAUCAGCAUUAUAUGAGAUAUCAGCAAAAUAUGCCUCCACAGAACCAACAUGGCUUACCGCAGCAGUUUGCUAAUCAACCUGAUUAUAUAGCAGCAUUCCCUAAAAGGGAAGAAGUUGAUUUUCAACAGGGAAAUCAAACAGGUUUUUCUCCAUCUCAUUUUCAGCAGACUGCUACACCAUCUUCUCAAAACCUGUAUGCUGGAGGUGAUUCAGUUUUAACACCCCAGGCAGUUGCUCAUGUGGGUCAACCUCAACAGUUCAGUGGCUCUGCUGUUAAUAUGCAACAGUCUAGCUCCGUGGCUCAGUUGCAGCAAAGUGGGGCUGAUUUAGUUCAUCAGCAGCAUGGUCCUCCAUUUCAAAAUCAUUUCAGUCCAUCAAUGAUGCAUAAUCAGCAGUCUAAUGUUCCUCCUGUUGGAUUAACAGUCGGUUCUGAGAUGAAUAUACAUGGUAGGGCUGGCAGUGAUUACUAUUUCAAUCCUAAAGUGGAAGGGCCCAUAGUUAGUCCUGGUCAGCCUAACCUUGCACCCAUGCCGAAGGGAAUAAAUCAGCAGGAGUCGAGGAUGGGUGGUGUAACAUUUCAGAAUGUUACAACUGGUUAUGCUGGUGGAUUUAAUGCAGCUGGGCAUACCAUGCAUAAUAUGUAUAAUCAUGCAAUUGGCGGUGGUCCAUUUCCAAACAAUGCUUUGAUUAGGCCCCCUUUUGUUGGAACUUCAGAUGUCACUAACCUCUCACCUGCAGAGGUUUAUCGACGGGAGCAUGAAGUCACAGCUACGGGUGACAAUGUUCCUGCUCCAUUCAUCACAUUUGAAGCCACUGGUUUUCCUCCUGAGAUAUUAAGAGAUGUAAGUUGUACUCCUUGCUGUGAUUUAGGUUCUAUGUACUGGCUUUAGAAAAUCAUAUAUGAGUUCUGCUUCUUUUGGUUUUUGAAGUAUUUUUGCUUUUUGAAUUGUUUUAAACUCAUUAGUUCUCACUUGUCGCAGGUGCGAUAUCUGCUCCAGACGAGGAGCAAAUGUCGUACGCUGCUCUGUUAUUGGCACACUUAUACAUGCAACAACUAUUCUGAUUUUUGGAGGCUGCAAAAUGGACAGUUGGAGCCUUUCUUGUGCAUCUUCUAGAAAGGUGGUUGGCCAUUUGUCCAAUUCACACCUGAUGUGACUGGGAUUUCUUGCUUUUUGGCUCUGCCUCAUAUGUCUUUAUUGCCCUAUUUAGUUGCCUCGAGUUGCUUGUGUAAGCAACAGUAUACUGUGGAUUUUUAGUUAUUUUGUUGUCAUGACACCUUAUUGCUGCCAUUUUUUUUGGAGUAUGGAUAAAUGUUAUGCAUUUAAUUUCUUGGUUCUCAUUAUCUAUAAUUAUUCUUCUAUUUCAGAUCCAUGCCGCUGGGUUCUUAUCUCCUACUCCUAUCCAGGCACAAACUUGGCCAAUUGCACUACAAAAUCGGGAUACUGUGGCAAUUGCCAAAACUGGUUCUGGUAAAACAUUGGGCUACCUGAUCCCUGCCUUCAUUCUUCUUAGACAAUGCCAUAAUAAUCCUCAGAAUGGUCCUACUGUACUGGUUUUAGCUCCAACAAGGGAGCUUGCCACACAAAUACAAGACGAGGUGAUAAAAUUUGGCCGAUCAUCAAGGGUCUCUUGCACGUGCUUGUAUGGUGGAGCUCCCAAGGGCCCUCAACUAAAAGAGCUUGAUCGAGGUGCAGAUAUUGUUGUAGCCACUCCUGGUCGACUCAAUGAUAUCCUUGAAAUGAAGAAGAUCAACUUUGGGCAAGUUUCACUUCUUGUGCUUGAUGAGGCUGAUCGAAUGCUUGAUAUGGGUUUUGAACCUCAAAUUCGUAAAAUUGUGAAUGAGAUACCUCCUCGGAGACAGACGCUUAUGUACACUGCAACCUGGCCAAAAGAAGUAAGAAAAAUAGCGAGUGAUCUUCUUGUUAAUCCUGUUCAGGUGAACAUUGGCAGUGUUGAUGAACUUGCUGCAAACAAGUCCAUCACACAGUAUGUUGAAGUGGUCCCACAAAUGGAGAAGGAGAGACGCUUGGAGCAGAUCCUUAGGGCACAAGAGAGAGGUUCAAAGGUUAUUAUUUUCUGUUCCACUAAGAGAUUAUGUGACCAGCUUGCACGUAGUAUUGGGCGCAACUUUGGGGCUGCAGUGAUUCAUGGAGACAAGUCACAAGGGGAAAGAGAUUGGGUUUUAAAUCAGUUCAGGAAUGGAAAGUCACCAAUUUUAGUUGCUACUGAUGUUGCUGCCCGAGGUCUUGAUAUCAAAGAUAUAAGGGUAGUGAUAAACUAUGAUUUUCCUACUGGAAUUGAGGAUUAUGUCCACCGAAUUGGUAGAACUGGAAGGGCUGGUGCAACUGGUGUGUCUUACACCUUUUUCUCUGAGCAGGAUUGGAAAUAUGCAGCCGAUUUGGUUAAAGUUCUGGAGGGAGCUAACCAGCAUGUUCCCCCAGAGGUGCGAGAGAUGGCUUUGCGUGGUGGGCCUAGUGUUGGCAAGGAUCGAGGUGGGAUGAACCGUUUUGAUUCAAAUAGUGGUAAUGGUGCUGGUAGGCGUUGGGAUUCUGGGGGCCGUGGUGGGAUGAGGGAUGGUGGCUUUGGUGGCCGUGGUGGAAUGAGGGAUGGUGGUUUUGGUGGUCGUGGUGGAAUGAGGGAUGGCAACUUUGGUGGACGUGGUGGGAUGAGGGAUGGAGGCUUUGGUUUCCGUGGGGGUGUUAGGGAUGGCCCUUUUGGUGGAUAUGGUGGGAGAAAUGACUCGUUUUCUGGGCGUGGAAAUAGAGGACGUGGAUACAGUGGUCAUGCUGGUUGGGGUAGGAAUGAACGUGGCCUACAUGAUCGCCACAACAAUAUGGAUGGUCGAGGACGUGGUCGUGGACGGGGAAGAUUUGAUGGUAGAAGAGAGAUUGUUGAUAGGGUUAGGGAUAGAAGUUAUAGUCGUAGCCCUGAGAGGGUUCGAACGUGGGGUUAUAGCCGCAGUCGAAGUAGAAGUAAGAGCUGGAGCCGGAGCCGGAGCCGGAGCUGCAGUAGGAGUCGGAGUUGGUCCCGAGACCGUAGUCGCAGUUACAGCCGCAGUCCUCGACAUAGCCGCAGCUACAGCCGUAGCCCUCGACGUACUCGCAGCUGUAGCCGCAGUCGCAGUCAAAGCUAUGACAGAUUGGAGAGGCCACAUGAAAGCAAUUUUGACAAGAAGGAUGUUACAGCUCCAGAAUUUGAAGCUCCCAAAUCAGGGAUGUCUCCUAUGUCCCCAGGUACGCAUGGUAAUGCAUUUUCAGGAGUGGAGGGGCUACCGGCGGGUGAGAGUGCGGUGCCUGAGCUGGUGAAUCCAGAGGCUGCAGAAGGGCAAGUUCCUGAAGCAUGAGCAUCUUUCUGGGUAUUUUAGCAUGGUUUUCAGUUUUUGUUAAUCAAAUACUGUGUUGCUGGGGAUUUAUGUUGGUUGAUAGUAGUGAUAGUGAAGGAAAUUUGGCUACCAGAGUGAAUUUUAUAUCCUAUUUUGCCAGUCAAGUUCAGCUUUAGUUCUGCAACGUUUUGAUUAGGGUUAGCUUCGUCCCUAUUGUUUUAAUCCAGGGAGAACAACUUUGGUGAUGAUUAUGUUCCUGUUGGGAUAGACAGGCACAAGGUCAAUGAAUUAUUUAGUUAUUUAUAUGACGUUAAAAUUUUCAUUUGAAUUUAUCAUGUCUCAAAAUAAUUUAGAAUUUGUUCUUACUAGGA
This 4761-nucleotide unclassified non-coding RNA is filed under the name Hevea brasiliensis (rubber tree). The record is from RNAcentral. Lineage: Eukaryota; Viridiplantae; Streptophyta; Magnoliopsida; Malpighiales; Euphorbiaceae.